RNAcentral lists this ribosomal RNA (492 nucleotides) under uncultured bacterium. RNAcentral describes it as "partial 16S ribosomal RNA". It matches the Rfam family "Bacterial small subunit ribosomal RNA", at positions 29 to 507 of the family's 1533-position model. The record is from RNAcentral.
AGCGAACGCUGGCGGCAGGCCUAACACAUGCAAGUCGAACGGCAGUACAGUAACUGGUUGCUCUUACGGGAGCCGCGGGGCGGACGGGUGCGGUAUGCUUCGCAAUCUACAUGUUUGCGUUGGCUAACGUAGGGUGACUCCCGCUAAGGCAACAUUCGUCCACCGGGUGGAUGCAGGGGAUUAUGCGGCUUUGCGGGUACGAAUGAGUCGACGCCGGAGUAGCUAGAUGGUGGGGUAAGGGCCUACCAACGCGACGAUCGGUACCUGGUCUGAGCGGAUGAUCCGCCACCCUGGAACUGAGACACGGUACAGACUCCUACGGGAGGCAGCAGUGGGGAAUCUUGGGCGAUGGGCGAAAGCCUGAUCCAGCCAUACCGCGUGGGUGAAGAAGGCCUUCGGGUGGUAGAACCCUGUUGUUGGGAAAGAAGAACAGUAGUUUAAUCCCUGGCUGUACUGACGGUACCCGAAGAAGAAGCCCCGGCUAACUUCGUG